RNAcentral lists this ribosomal RNA (253 nucleotides) under uncultured bacterium. RNAcentral's name for it is "partial 16S ribosomal RNA". It matches the Rfam family "Bacterial small subunit ribosomal RNA", at positions 524 to 776 of the family's 1533-position model. The record is from RNAcentral.
UACGGAGGGUGCAAGCGUUGUUCGGAAUUAUUGGGCGUAAAGCGCGUGCAGGCGGUUUGAUAAGUCUGAUGUGAAAGCCCCGGGCUCAACCUGGGAAGUGCAUUGGAAACUAUCAGACUUGAAUACGGGAGAGGGUAGUGGAAUUCCGAGUGUAGGAGUGAAAUCCGUAGAUAUUCGGAGGAACACCGGUGGCGAAGGCGGCUACCUGGACCGAUAUUGACGCUGAGACGCGAAAGCGUGGGUAGCAAACAGG